CGGGAUACCCGAGGGAAACUUCGGUUAAUACGGUAUAAGACCACACUACCGCAUGGUAGAGGGGUAAAAGGGGCAACCUGGUAUGAGAUGGACUCGCGUCGCAUUAGCUAGUUGGUGAGGUAACGGCCCACCAAGGCGACGAUGCGUAGCCGACCUGAGAGGGUGAUCGGCCACAUUGGGACUGAGAUACGGCCCAGACUCCUACGGGAGGCAGCAGUGGGGAAUAUUGGGCAAUGGAGGAAACUCUGACCCAGCAAUGCCGCGUGAAUGAAGAAGGUCUUCGGAUUGUAAAGUUCUUUAGUCAGGGAAGAAGUCAAUGACGGUACCUGAAGAAUAAGCUCCGGCUAACUACGUGCCAGCAGCCGCGGUAAUACGUAGGGAGCAAGCGUUGUUCGGAAUGACUGGGCGUAAAGGGUGCGUAGGCGGUUGUACAAGUUAGAAGUGAAAUACCCAGGGCUUAACUCGGGUGCUGCUUCUAAAACUGUAUGACUUGAGUGCAGUAGAGGUUAGUGGAAUUCCUAGUGUAGCGGUGGAAUGCGUAGAUAUUAGGAGGAACACCAGAGGCGAAGGCGGCUAACUGGACUGCAACUGACGCUGAGGCACGAAAGUGUGGGGAGCAAACAGGAUUAGAUACCCUGGUAGUCCACACUGUAAACGAUGGAUAAUAGAUGUAGGAGGUAUCGACUCCUUCUGCGUCG
Molecule: ribosomal RNA, 698 nt
Filed under: uncultured bacterium
Lineage: Bacteria
Description: bacterial SSU rRNA
Rfam family: Bacterial small subunit ribosomal RNA
Source: RNAcentral